Molecule: unclassified non-coding RNA, 1105 nt
Filed under: Stegodyphus dumicola
Lineage: Eukaryota; Metazoa; Arthropoda; Arachnida; Araneae; Eresidae
Description: uncharacterized LOC118197159, transcript variant X2
Source: RNAcentral
UACAAACCUCGCGUUAUACGGUUUCUCUGCUUUUGAUCACUGUUUUCUUCAAGCGACGGCAGUUAACAGCAAAGAAUGGGUCCUGAGACGAUUUUUCCCUUUUGCACGUGAUUUAUUUCAUUUCAUAUGGUGUCAAUUCAAAGUACCAGAUGAGGAGAUGUAUGACAGGGAGGAUCCAAAACAAUCUUUGUUCACCGAAGAAAUUGGAAGAGCUAUUGUUGGUACGCAGAUAAUUUUCAGAGACGAAUUUGAGCUUAUUUUCCAGAAUCACGAAUCUCAGAGAAUGGGAGAAGACGGUUUCAAUAAAUUUGUGAACGAAUGUAUUGUUGCUCUCGUACCAGCUGGCGAUAUUAUUGAUAGAACAGUAGCUUCGAUUAUGAUUUACGCUGAAUUUACAUUGUAUCAGCGUAACAUAGGUAACGAAGACUAUUUUCAGUAUUUACAGAGAACACCCAAAUGGUGGUCAAAUUAUUUCCAAAUUCACUUGUAUGAGACCUUUGAUGCUGAGCAAGGCUGGGCGAAAUUACGUAUAAAAGGAGAAGUAUGGAAUCACGUGUUCGUGAAUGAUAAUCUAGACAAUAUUCGUUUCUACGUUAAUUGUUCUCCUCAAUACCGAGAAGAGUUACGUUAUUUUAAAAACUUGUAUUUACCAGGCUAUAAGGCAGGAAUCCAGAAAUUCUUACGUCGUAAACCUCGGGAAUCGCCCAGUGCUCGGGAAUCGCCCAGUGCUCGGGAAUCGCCCAGUGCUCGGGAAUCGCCCAGUGCUCGGGAAUCGCCCAGUGCUCGGGAAUCGCCCAGUGCUCGGGAAUCUUCCAGUAGGGUUGAAAUAACCGCGGAGGACUAGCUUUCGAUGCAAUAUUCAGUGAACAUGUUACACCAGUAUCUAUAUAGUGCCACUGCGUUACUGUGGUUUGUAAGAGUCUCAAAAGUUGUCAUCAAUUAAAGUUUCAAUAUCUUGCGUGAUGUGAUAUAUCGGAGCCUCGAAAAAGAAUUAGAUAUUUUUCAAUGGAUAAUAAUGCACAUUUCUGACUGCUUUGCAAGAAUGUAUUCCAAUAAAUGAUGAAACCGAAUCACAACAAACGAGGCUGAAAGUAUGUUCCGAUCC